Molecule: non-coding RNA, 30 nt
Filed under: Mus musculus (house mouse)
Lineage: Eukaryota; Metazoa; Chordata; Mammalia; Rodentia; Muridae
Source: RNAcentral
AAGCACUCUACGACUGAGCCACAUCCCCAC